UCUGUGGAGGAGGAGAGAGCAGGAGAAAAGAGAGGUGAGGUGACGGAGGCACAACGACGGGAUGCCUGGAGAAAAUGAAAACCGAACAAACCAGGAAGUAACGGACCCCAAAACGAGGGCACCCCUCAACAGAGAACAAUGAUCCGCCGUUGAGGGACGGGGUAGAAAAAAAACAAACAAAUCGUCCUCUCCAGAAACCAACAACCAGGAAGGCUGUGAAGGGACAAGUGGAGAAGGCCUUCACAAAGCCUAGGAAGGGCCUCGAGCCAGCACAGGCCAGAGAGCCUCCCACCCCCACACUGUCACAACAAACAACAGCGAGGCCAGAAUGGACAAGCAAAUGGACGUGUUUCUGGGAAGCGGUAGCUGCUGGCAGCGUGGUGCAGGGCCCUCCCCCGAGGACCAGGGCAGUGCAGAGCAGGCGUGGACACAGCACGGGCAGGCGUGCAGCUCCCCCUGGCUGGCAGUAAAGAGGAGACAGGUGCUCAGCCCGCUUCCCUCUGGGAUGAAACUCAUCUGCAGUCAAAAUGGCGGACCAGGGAGAAAACCUGGCUGGCCAGGGGCAUUUCAGGGUACUGCCUUCUCCUUGAUUAGAAAUGGGCUUCAUGGUGGGGGUGGCAAGGAACAUGGAGGGACAACUCUAAAGGUUAGCUAGGGAAUUCCAUCCUUUUAACUUACUCCAUGCUGUUGUGGGUAGGUGGGUGUAAGGGGAUCUUAUGUAAGUAUGUGCCUGGUGAAUGCUGUUUGCUGGUCUCAGCAGACCCUUCAAAGCAGAAAGCCUGAAGCGGCUCUGUACAUGUCCAGCAAAGGCCUCAGCCUGCUCUAUACAUUUGCACAGGGCCACCAGCACCCUCUUACAUACUGCCAAGAAACUAUCAUUUUGGUGACAGAAUGCUUCCUUGGUCUCGGAUGAUUUCCAUCUCUGCCCCAUCUCCAUUUCUGGGUUCUCCCAUGCCGGGUUGGCGAGUAGCGAUCACGCCAGCCUUGAUCUCCCAGACCCUAGUUCCUCUUUCCAUUUCUGCUAAAAGCUGUUCCCCAAGUCUGCUUUGAUCUGGUCUCUACCAAAAGUCCUGGUGUGCCCUUUCUUUGCAGGGUGCAGGGCUCCAGUGUGACACCAGUAUUACAGUAUUCUUCCAGUGACCCUCAUGUGGCAUGGUAUAAAGUGGCUGGAAGACAAGGCCACAUAGUGGUAAGAGGCCAGCUGAGGGUACCCACUUAGCUCACAACAGCAGAUGUCCCAUGACACCCACCCAGAGGAAACAGGGAGGGACUCCACACUCUCAUGACCAGCUUAGCUCAGGACAGACAUCUCGGAUCCUAUGAUAUAGCUUCUCCCCUAGACCUCAACAAGAGUGUCUCAGAGCCAGAAGUACUGCUGUUGUGUCUGCCAAUCUGCUGCCUAGUGCGGGGAGAACUCUUGGGCAAACCAGCGCUUGGUUAGAACCUUCUAGAGAAUCCUGGACUACACAAAAAACCCUCCAGCCAUCUGCCCAGCCAGGGCCAGCUGCUUCUAGAUACAACAAGCCAGGCUGCACCUCCCUAGUCGAGGCCACACUUACUGUUGGAUGGCGUUCAGGAUCCCCCACAUGUACUGAUCCACUUCCAGACCCUCGAGCAGAGCAGUUUUACUGGAAGAGAAGAACAGAGGCUUGGUCUUUGCGCCUGGAGGCAGGACACAGCCCGCCCACCUCCACUGUCCUGCCACUGUGGAUACAAUGGAGGCACAGAGUGCAAUAUAGCAGUGAAAUCCAAGGCCCAUGCCUCUGUGGGGCUGGUUUUGCCUGAAGGGUAGGUAAAGCAGCUAAGAGGCCCAAGAAGAGGCCAGAGGGCACCUCUGCUCUGCAAGGUGGGUAUUGCUUACUUGCACACGGGACACCUCCAGGUCCCUCGCUCACAAUUCAGUUGGAGGUAUGACUCCAGGUCAAAGCACUGCAGAAGUGAGAGACAGAGAGAUAGGUAAGAUCAGGACUGUCAGAAAAUGCCUUGCUGUGGCUCUGGACUCUUGGGAAGACUUCAGUGCUGGGGAAGAACUCUUCUCUUACUCCAUAGAACCACAGAACAGCCAUGCUGUGUCUGCCACGGCCCUCACAGAUCUCUUCCCUGUCCUCGAGUAAGCCCUUCUGGACCCAACACCCCAGCCAAGUCUCACUGCUUUUGCCUCUUACUGAGGCCGGGACCAGUGUGGACUCUGGCAGUCCCCUUAAUCCAUCCCAGGGACCCAGGGUAACUCUGUUGAUCAGCCUGUAUCAGACAAAGCAAUCACAUCAUGUCCGUACCUACAAACUCAGAGGGAGGCAGUCCUGUCUGCCACUUAGCUUUCAGGAUGAACUAACUGUGCUUCACAGUGUGGCGAUGAUGGUGUAAUUGGCUCUGCCAUCCUUGCACCCCUGUCGUGGGACCCUGUCUUGGCCAACCCCUACACAACCGGUCUUUGCUAGUCUAGGUUGCCUCUUUCUUGAACCUGUGGUGUCUAGCCAGGACUUUCUGCUGGCCUACGAUACCUGAUUGUCUAUUUCUGCAUUACUACCCCUCCCCAGGGCCUCAGAGAUGGACCUGAAGGAGAAAACAAGACUGAGAGAGCACGAGAUACUGGCUGCCGAUGGCCGCAAUGUCUCUCAGGCAGCAACAGGCUCUGUUGGCCCUUGGCCUGCCCCUUGUCACCCUGCUAACUCUGUACAGCCUGGGCCUGCUCACCUGCACAUGCUUGCAAUCGUGGCCUCGAGCAGGCAGCUGUAUGCGCCGGAAUGUGAUGGGGCACUUCAGAGACACCUUGAUGGCGGUCUGCUCCACGCCAUCCUCCCCAUUGAGAGUUGUGUUGCCCGAGGAGGCAGCCACACUGCUGAAAUUCCGCUUGACUGUGAGUGAGGAGGCAGAGGGUGAGGGCUGGGUGCUCCACUGAGGAAAUUGGAUCUCAGCAGCUCCUAAACACGGCUUGGAUUCCCCACCCCUGCAUCCCACAUGCCACACAUGCCAUGUGCAGGUUCAGAAGGACAAAAGGACAGAUGUUGUGGGACAAGACCAGUAGCAAGGCCCAUUGUGACCAUCUCCAGGUGGAGGCAGGAGCGUCAUCUUUGCACCAUGUUUGUCUGAGUGCUCAGAAGCCUCAGGCCUCCUGCCUUACAUCUUAGCUCCUGUCUCCCGAAUGCCACCCAGUUUUGCCUGCAACAGCCCACUGAUCAUCUAAAGCUGGGUGAAUUCAAACACACUGGGAGCAGAGGCCCACUUCUAGUCUAGGAGGGUUACUAGGCAACUGUGCUGGGAUGGGGCUCUAUCCCAGGCCUUGGAUGAACCUUGCUUAAGGACCAAAGACCUAGGAGGAGUUUAGAAGCCUCUAGUUUAAGUGUUAGCUCCACUUCUUGCUCUGGGGGUUCACAUCCUUUAAAAUAUUCCUCCAGCCUCAGUUUCUCCUUCAGAUCAAAAAGAAAAGCACUGCCUCCUUCAAGAUCUCAGAGGUCAUGUGCAGAGCCUCCUGGCCCAGGCACUUGAGCACAGCCCUAUGGGUGGGCAGCAUCAGACACUGGUCACCCCCUUGCACUUUAUUGGUGAGCAUACCUAGCCUAGCUCUGCUGUUCUCGGCAGCCUCUUCACACUGGCAUCCCUGGCAACAUGUGUCAUGUUCGGGUUGCUGUUUUCCCCUUUUGCUAACCUGUCACCUUGAGAUAGCCUCUUCCCAGCCCAUAGGGCUCUCUGCUAGGCUCCUCACCCUCCAGAAAGUCCAGCCAAUACUUAGGACUCGGGUAACAGCUGUUUCCAGCUGUUGAUGCUUGGUCCCUCUCCUGUGAGUUCCCUGGGACAUUCUCUGGGCUUUACAUAGUCCAGGACCCUGUCAAUGAUGCUGAGAAGGCAACAGGAAGCUGCUGCCAGCACCUGUGCAGGACCAGAGCCCGGGGUAGGAAGUCACCAUGCAGGCCACCUCACCUCC
Mus musculus (house mouse) is the source of this 3922-nucleotide long non-coding RNA. RefSeq annotates it as predicted gene, 52102. The record is from RefSeq and is a predicted model, not a curated record. NCBI's taxonomy places the organism in Eukaryota, Metazoa, Chordata, Mammalia, Rodentia, Muridae. The transcript has 3 exons.